Molecule: transfer RNA, 74 nt
Filed under: Ichthyosaura alpestris (Alpine newt)
Lineage: Eukaryota; Metazoa; Chordata; Amphibia; Caudata; Salamandridae
Description: tRNA-His
Rfam family: tRNA
About the family: Transfer RNA (tRNA) molecules are approximately 80 nucleotides in length.
Source: RNAcentral
AACGUGCAUAUAAUUUUAUAAAAAAAUAUUAGAUUGUGAUUCUAAAAAUGAAAGUUAAACCCUUUCUACGCACC